Molecule: ribosomal RNA, 589 nt
Filed under: Candida tropicalis
Lineage: Eukaryota; Fungi; Ascomycota; Pichiomycetes; Serinales; Debaryomycetaceae
Description: eukaryotic LSU rRNA
Rfam family: Eukaryotic large subunit ribosomal RNA
Source: RNAcentral
UCGGAGGAAAAGAAACCAACAGGGAUUGCCUUAGUAGCGGCGAGUGAAGCGGCAAAAGCUCAAAUUUGAAAUCUGGCUCUUUCAGAGUCCGAGUUGUAAUUUGAAGAAGGUAUCUUUGGGUCUGGCUCUUGUCUAUGUUUCUUGGAACAGAACGUCACAGAGGGUGAGAAUCCCGUGCGAUGAGAUGAUCCAGGCCUAUGUAAAGUUCCUUCGAAGAGUCGAGUUGUUUGGGAAUGCAGCUCUAAGUGGGUGGUAAAUUCCAUCUAAAGCUAAAUAUUGGCGAGAGACCGAUAGCGAACAAGUACAGUGAUGGAAAGAUGAAAAGAACUUUGAAAAGAGAGUGAAAAAGUACGUGAAAUUGUUGAAAGGGAAGGGCUUGAGAUCAGACUUGGUAUUUUGUAUGUUACUUCUUCGGGGGUGGCCUCUACAGUUUAUCGGGCCAGCAUCAGUUUGGGCGGUAGGAGAAUUGCGUUGGAAUGUGGCACGGCUUCGGUUGUGUGUUAUAGCCUUCGUCGAUACUGCCAGCCUAGACUGAGGACUGCGGUUUAUACCUAGGAUGUUGGCAUAAUGAUCUUAAGUCGCCCGUCUU